AUGAUCUCCGCGGAGAGGAGCCAGUCGCAGAGCCCGCGGUCGCCCGGGGCGGCGGCCGGGGCGCCGUUCCUGUCGAUCUGCGUCACGGAUCCCGUCAAGAUGGGCACCGGCGUCCAGUCCUACAUCUCCUACCGCGUCAUCACCAAGACUAACCUACCUGAAUUCGAGGGAGCAGAGAAAAUUGUUAUCCGGCGUUAUAGUGAUUUUGAGUGGCUGCACGAUCGGCUAGCUGAGAAGUACAAAGGCAUUUUUAUACCUCCUCUUCCAGAGAAGAAUGCAGUUGAGAAAUUCCGGUUUAGCAAAGAAUUCAUUGAAUUGAGGCGCCAAGCUUUGGACCUAUUCAUCAACAGACUAGCUUCACACCCUGAACUUAAGCAAAGCGAAGAUUUGAGGACAUUUUUGCAGGCAGAUGAAGAGAAAAUGGAUAGAGCAAGGUCUUAUGAGACUGGUAUAUUUAAGAAGCCGGGAGAUUUCAUACAGAUGUUUAAGGAUGUACAGUCAAAGGUCAGUGAUGUUGUUCUGGGAAAAGAAAAGCCAGUGGAAGAAUCUACUCCUGAAUAUGAGAAGCUUAAACAUUAUAUAUUUGAGCUAGAAAAUCAUCUAGCAGAGGCCCAGAAACAAGCAUUUCGCCUUGUAAAAAGGCACAGAGAACUUGGGCAAUCUUUGGUGGACUUUGGGAAAGCGAUUAAGCUUUUAGGCGCCUGUGAAGGGGAUUCGUUGGAGAAGGUGUUUUCUGAAGUUGGUUCGAAGUCAGAAAUGUUGUCAAUAAAGCUGCAAAGAGAGGCAGACAACCUUCUCUUUAACUUUGAAGAGCCUUUGAAAGAUUAUGUGCGUGCUGUGCAGUCAAUAAAGGCGACUAUGCUUGAUCGAGCCAAUGCUUUCAGGCAGCACUUUGACUUGGACCAGGAGAGGAAGUAUAAAGAGCUUAACCUUUCUUUUUACCCUGAGAAGUUUAUUCUGUACUAUUACCUGGAAAAUUUCUCAUCCUAUUCUUACUGCAGUGAAAAAAUGAAGUUCAUGAACCCUGAGAAGUUUACCGAGUCAGAAACUGAGUUCAGCGAGUUGAAAGCAGCCAGUGAGGAGGCUACGAAGAGGUACGAGCACAUAGUUAGUGUAAUGAACGAGGAGCUUGCACGAUUCCAGGAGCAGAAAACAGCUGAUAUUGGACUUGCAUUCCAUGAGUUUGCCAAAGGUCAAGCAAAGUUGGCUAAAGAUAUUGCUGAUGCGUGGCGUAGCGUCCUCCCAAAGCUAGAGGCGUGUUCCAGUUCAUAA
RNAcentral lists this ribosomal RNA (1272 nucleotides) under Triticum aestivum (bread wheat). RNAcentral describes it as "partial small subunit ribosomal RNA". The record is from RNAcentral. Lineage: Eukaryota; Viridiplantae; Streptophyta; Magnoliopsida; Poales; Poaceae.